RNAcentral lists this transfer RNA (68 nucleotides) under Schistocephalus solidus. It matches the Rfam family "tRNA". Rfam says of the family: Transfer RNA (tRNA) molecules are approximately 80 nucleotides in length. Their secondary structure includes four short double-helical elements and three loops (D, anti-codon, and T loops). Lineage: Eukaryota; Metazoa; Platyhelminthes; Cestoda; Diphyllobothriidea; Diphyllobothriidae. The record is from Rfam by way of RNAcentral.
GGAUGGCUCAAUGGUAGAGCUUUCGACUCAAUUACCAAAGGCCGUGGGUUCGAAUCCCAGUUAGUCCA